RNAcentral lists this ribosomal RNA (802 nucleotides) under uncultured bacterium. RNAcentral's name for it is "bacterial SSU rRNA". It matches the Rfam family "Bacterial small subunit ribosomal RNA", at positions 59 to 825 of the family's 1533-position model. The record is from RNAcentral.
CAGUCGAACGGAAGUCGUUGUAAUGAUAUAGACAUGGACGGAGAACUUGUUCAAACAUAGUGAAAGUUGACUUACAACAAUGGCUUUAGUGGCGGACUGGUGAGUAACACGUAAGCAACCUGCCUAUCAGAGGGGAACAACAGUUAGAAAUGACUGCUAAUACCGCAUAUGCCUAAGUAUCACAUGAUACAAUAGGGAAAGGAGCAAUCUGCUGAUAGAUGGGCUUGCGUCUGAUUAGAUAGUUGGUGGGGUAACGGCCUACCAAGUCAACGAUCAGUAGCCGGACUGAGAGGUUGAACGGCCACAUUGGGACUGAGAUACGGCCCAGACUCCUACGGGAGGCAGCAGUCGGGAAUAUUGCGCAAUGGAGGAAACUCUGACGCAGUGACGCCGCGUGCAGGAAGAAGGUUUUCGGAUUGUAAACUGCUUUAGACAGGGAAGAAUAAAGACAGUACCUGUAGAAUAAGCUCCGGCUAACUACGUGCCAGCAGCCGCGGUAAUACGUAGGGAGCAAGCGUUAUCCGGAUUUAUUGGGUGUAAAGGGUGCGUAGACGGGAAAUUAAGUUAGUUGUGAAAUCCCUCGGCUUAACUGAGGAACUGCAACUAAAACUGGUUUUCUUGAGUGCUGGAGAGGAAAGUGGAAUUCCUAGUGUAGCGGUGAAAUGCGUAGAUAUUAGGAGGAACACCAGUGGCGAAGGCAACUUUCUGGACAGUAACUGACGUUGAGGCACGAAAGUGUGGGGAGCAAACAGGAUUAGAUACCCUGGUAGUCCACACCGUANACGAUGGAUACUAGGUGUAG